This 253-nucleotide ribosomal RNA is filed under the name uncultured bacterium. Its description in RNAcentral is "partial 16S ribosomal RNA". It matches the Rfam family "Bacterial small subunit ribosomal RNA", at positions 524 to 776 of the family's 1533-position model. The record is from RNAcentral.
UACGAAGGGGGCUAGCGUUGCUCGGAAUCACUGGGCGUAAAGCGCACGUAGGCGGAUCUUUAAGUCAGGGGUGAAAUCCCAGGGCUCAACCUUGGAACUACCUUUGAUACUGGGGAUCUCGAGUCCGGAAGAGGUGAGUGGAACUGCGAGUGUAGAGGUGAAAUUCGUAGAUAUUCGCAAGAACACCAGUGGCGAAGGCGGCUCACUGGUCCGGUACUGACGCUGAGGCGCGAAAGCGUGGGGAGCAAACAGG